Molecule: ribosomal RNA, 506 nt
Filed under: uncultured bacterium
Lineage: Bacteria
Description: partial 16S ribosomal RNA
Rfam family: Bacterial small subunit ribosomal RNA
Source: RNAcentral
AGUGAACGCUGGCGGUAGGCCUAACACAUGCAAGUCGAACGGCAGCACAGGAGAGCUUGCUCCCUGGGUGGCGAGUGGCGGACGGGUGAGGAAUACAUCGGAAUCUACUCUGUCGUGGGGGAUAACGUAGGGAAACUUACGCUAAUACCGCCUCCGACCUACCGGUGAAAGCAUGGGACCUUCGGGCCUCGCGCGAUUGAAUGAGCCGAUGUCGGAUUAGCUAGUUGGCGGGGUAAAGGCCCACCAAGGCCACGAUCCGUAGCUGGUCUGAGAGGAUGAUCAGCCACACUGAAACUGAGACACGGUCCAGACUCCUACGGGAGGCAGCAGUGGGGAAUAUUGGACAAUGGGCGCAAGCCUGAUCCAGCCAUACCGCGUGGGUGAAGAAGGCCUUCGGGUUGUAAAGCCCUUUUGUUGGGAAAGAAAUCCAGCUGGCUAAUACCCGGUUGGGAUGACGGUACCCAAGGAAUAAGCACCGGCUAACUUCGUGCCAGCAGCCGCCGUAA